GGGAGCGAGGAGGGAGGGAGUAGGCCGCGGCGCGAGGGAGGGUGGAGGAGGAAGACGCGGGAUCCUCGGGUGCGGCUGCUGACGACGAGGAGGUGGUGCAGCGGAGAAGGAGGAGGAGCGGCAGGGUAGCGAGCGCGCGUCCGGCAGCACCGGUGCGCGAAGCGCCCGCUUGGGCUAGAGGUGACGGACGAGACCCAAGCGCGCCCUGCCCGAGGGGGCGGAGGAGGAGGAGCGCCGCCUCCUGCUGCGGAUACCUCACUUCCUCCUACGGGUUUGGUACCAGCUCGACGACAACCGCCGGACCUACGUCCGCUACCACCGCCGGUCGCCCCCAGACCGCCCGCACCGCCGGCUGGCCAGCCCGUCGCUGGAACUACCUCCUCUUCCCUAGACCGCCCGUACCGCCGUCGACCUUCCCGUCGUCGUCUGACUCCCCGCAGCUGGCCAGGUCGUCGCUGGAACUGCCUCCUCUUCCCGGUCCGUCCUAAGCACGGGGACGUGGAAGUCCCUUUCUCGAAGAAGGACCUAGUGGUUUGACAUCGUCUAGUACACUACAAUUCGUACUCCUUUGACGCCUUCUCCUCUCACUACUACUGUGUACACGACUGAAGAUGAUGACGAUGAGUUCCCGGCGCUUGUCUGAUGAGCUGCUGCUUUUUGUACUUUAUUAGCCCGACCGAAGUUAGGUUGGCCCGUUAGGUCGUAAGUACUGCCAAGACGACUCCAGGGUAGACGUUGCGUUCCUGUUGAAAGACCAGUAGGGGUCACUUAAACAUCUACUUGUAGAGGUGUACUCUAGUGUACUCCAACACGACGAGUCCGGUUUGUCUCUUCUCUCCACCGUACAGUCGAUGAUGGUGGUCCCCUCGAGGUCGUCUCCGAAGUCCCCGGUUGGGACCCGAUUCAAGCAGUCGUUGUUGUUUGACGUGUUCCCCCUAUAGACGCAGAAGCUCGACUAGUUUCCGCGCUCCUUACUCUUCUUUCGGUCCUGCUGCUACUGGCAGGUACAACAAUCCUCCUUCUUCAGGCUUCCAGCCAAACGGAAUCACCCGAUACAAGGACGUCACACUCUGCACGUGACGUAUAAAACCGUACAAUAUACGUCACAUCUAUACCCGUUCACCGCCGUCGACCUUCCCGUCGUCGUCGGACACCCCGCAACUGGCCAGGUAGUCGCUGGAACUACCUCCUCUUCCCGGUCCGUCCUAAACACGGGGACGUGGAGGUCCUCAUACGGUAACCGUGAAGGUUGUAGAUCGUCAUUCCAAGCAUUAAAUAAGUCCAUGAAGAUUCCAAGGAACGACGGGAUAGUAGAAGUAGAACAAUAAACCAACGACGAUGCGCCUGACACCACUAAAUGAUGGAAGACUAGAAGAGUGAUGAGUUAGUUCCAGGAAAGACUUUUCGAAGGCCUGCUAUACUCGCGAUUUUUCGAGGUCGAACAACAACUGCGACAACCUGAACCUAUGUCUAUACACUAAGAGUACACUAGGAAAACGACCUUCGAACGAUUAGAAUCCCCACGACGAUGACCACAUUUUUUACAAAAUAGCUUUCUUGAUUUCAUCAUCGAUUAGGUUCGUAACUUCUUCACUGCCUCUCCGAUGU
This 1608-nucleotide ribosomal RNA is filed under the name Triticum aestivum (bread wheat). RNAcentral describes it as "partial small subunit ribosomal RNA". Lineage: Eukaryota; Viridiplantae; Streptophyta; Magnoliopsida; Poales; Poaceae. The record is from RNAcentral.